Molecule: ribosomal RNA, 830 nt
Filed under: Tetragnatha javana
Lineage: Eukaryota; Metazoa; Arthropoda; Arachnida; Araneae; Tetragnathidae
Description: SSU rRNA
Rfam family: Eukaryotic small subunit ribosomal RNA
Source: RNAcentral
CCAAGGAAGGCAGCAGGCGCGCAAAUUACCCACUCCCGGCACGGGGAGGUAGUGACGAAAAAUAACAAUACGGGACUCUUUUGAGACCCCGUAAUUGGAAUGAGUACACUCUAAAUCCUUUAACGAUGAACUAUUGGAGGUAAAGUCUGGUGCCAGCAUCCGCGGUAACUCCAGCUCCAAUAGCGUAUAUUAAAGUUGUUGCGGUUAAAAAGCUCGUAGUUGGAUCUCAGUUUGCGGGUCGUCGGUCCGAAGCGAUUCGGCUUACUGGCGGCCCGCGACCGACCGCCGGUUUCCCCGGAUGAUCUUCACCGGUUGUCCCGGGUGACCGGCAAGUUUACUUUGAAAAAAUUAGAGUGCUCAAAGCAGGCAACUGUGCCUGAAUAAUGGUGCAUGGAAUAAUGGAAUAGGACCUCGGUUCUAUUUUGUUGGUUUUCGGAACACGAGGUAAUGAUUAAGAGGGACAGACGGGGGCAUUCGUAUUGCGACGCUAGAGGUGAAAUUCUUGGACCGCCGCACGACGAACUACUGCGAAAGCAUUUGCCAAGAAUGUUUCCAUUAAUCAAGAACGAAAGUCAGAGGUUCGAAGGCGAUCAGAUACCGCCCUAGUUCUGACCAUAAACGAUGCCAGCCAGCGAUCCGGCUGCGUUCCUCAAAUGACGCGCCGGGCAGCUUCCGGGAAACCAAAGCUUUUGGGUUCCGGGGGGAGUAUGGUUGCAAAGCUGAAACUUAAAGGAAUUGACGGAAGCGCACACAAGAAAUGGGGCCUGCGGCUUAAUUUGACUCAACACGGUGCAACUCACCCGGCCCGGACACAGGAAGGAUUGACAGAU